Molecule: ribosomal RNA, 472 nt
Filed under: uncultured Syntrophorhabdus sp.
Lineage: Bacteria; Pseudomonadati; Thermodesulfobacteriota; Syntrophorhabdia; Syntrophorhabdales; Syntrophorhabdaceae
Description: bacterial SSU rRNA
Rfam family: Bacterial small subunit ribosomal RNA
Source: RNAcentral
AGACGGGGCCCGCACAAGCGGUGGAGCAUGUGGUUAAUUCGACGCAACGCGAAAACCUUACCUGGGCUUGACAUGGAGAGAAUCUCCUGGAAACAGGAGAGUGCCUCGCAAGAGGAGCUCUCACACAGGUGCUGCAUGGCUGUCGUCAGCUCGUGCCGUGAGGUGUUGGGUUAAGUCCCGCAACGAGCGCAACCCCCAUCCCCAGUUGCCAUCAUUAAGUUGGGCACUCUGAGGAAACUGCCCGGGUUAACCGGGAGGAAGCGGGGAUGACGUCAAGUCCUCAUGGCCUUUAUGACCAGGGCUACACACGUACUACAAUGGCCGGUACAAAGGGCAGCGACACAGCGAUGUGAAGCCAAUCCUGAAAAGCCGGUCUCAGUCCGGAUUGGAGUCUGCAACUCGACUCCAUGAAGUUGGAAUCGCUAGUAAUCGCGGAUCAGCACGCCCGCGGUUCCGAAUACGUUCCGGCCUU